GGUGAAGAACGUAGCGAAAUGCGAUACGUAAUGUGAAUUGCAGAAUUCAGUGAAUCAUCGAAUCUUUGAACGCACAUUGCGCCCGCUAGUAUUCUGGCGGGCAUGCCUGUCCGAGCGUCAUUUCAACCCAUCAAGCUUAGCGCUUGUGUUGGAGCCCUGCGGCCGCCGCAGCCUCCUAAAAUCAGUGGCGGGCUCGCUAUCACGCUGAGUGCAGUAGUAUUCUUCUCACUCCUGUGGUGUAGCGGGUAACCAGCCGUAAACCCCCCCAUCUAUAAAGGUUGACCUCGGAUCAGGUAGGAAUACCCGCUGAACUUAAGCAUAUCAAUAAGCGGAGGA
Molecule: unclassified non-coding RNA, 336 nt
Filed under: soil metagenome
Description: partial contains 5.8S ribosomal RNA, internal transcribed spacer 2, and large subunit ribosomal RNA
Rfam family: 5.8S ribosomal RNA (bases 3-120)
Source: RNAcentral